UUAAUCGUGUUGAGAGGGAAAAGUAAGAAGUGCAUUGCUUUUUAGAGAGAACCACCAUUGGCUGCAAGUGGUUUAAGCAAGUUCUUCUGAAAAUGCACCCUUGAGUCUUUUUUUGAACUGCAUUGCACAGUAGAAAAAAGCGAGUGGCGUCGUUAAUGGCUAUAGAGAUAGUGAAGGAAACACUCUUCACUUAAACAGAGUGGAACCGCGCCUAGCGCCUCUGUG
RNAcentral lists this non-coding RNA (225 nucleotides) under Bacillus sp. (in: firmicutes). RNAcentral describes it as "Bacillus sp. T-box sequence". It matches the Rfam family "T-box leader". Rfam says of the family: Uncharged tRNA acts as the effector for transcription antitermination of genes in the T-box leader family. T-boxes are found upstream of many aminoacyl-tRNA synthetase genes and some amino acid biosynthetic genes usually in Gram-positive bacteria. The anticodon of a specific tRNA base pairs to a specifier sequence within the T-box motif, and the NCCA acceptor tail of the tRNA base pairs to a conserved bulge in the T-box antiterminator hairpin. The record is from RNAcentral. Lineage: Bacteria; Bacillati; Bacillota; Bacilli; Caryophanales; Bacillaceae.